This is a non-coding RNA of Oryza glaberrima (African rice), 166 nucleotides long. Lineage: Eukaryota; Viridiplantae; Streptophyta; Magnoliopsida; Poales; Poaceae. The record is from Rfam.
AAAAAAAUAAACUCUGAGUUUCCGUGUCUAACGUUUGACUGUCCGUUUUAUAUGAAUUUUUUUAUAAUUAGUAUUUUAAUUAUUGUUAGAUGAUAAAACAUAAUUAAUACUUUAUGCGUAACUGACGGUCAAACGUUGGACACGGAAACCCAUGGUUUGUCUUCUU